Molecule: transfer RNA, 73 nt
Filed under: Stegodyphus mimosarum
Lineage: Eukaryota; Metazoa; Arthropoda; Arachnida; Araneae; Eresidae
Rfam family: tRNA
About the family: Transfer RNA (tRNA) molecules are approximately 80 nucleotides in length. Their secondary structure includes four short double-helical elements and three loops (D, anti-codon, and T loops).
Source: Rfam by way of RNAcentral
GCUUUCGUGGUGUAGUGGUCAGCACGCUCGACGCGUAACCGAGAGGUCCGUGGUUCGAUUCCCGGAGAAGGCG